Long non-coding RNA from Ficedula albicollis (Collared flycatcher), 1858 nucleotides. The record is from Ensembl. Lineage: Eukaryota; Metazoa; Chordata; Aves; Passeriformes; Muscicapidae.
AUGUGCACGGGGACGUGUGGCCAUGAAAAAUACGCAGUCAGAAGGACCCAGAGGAACCCUGCAGAGCUGACAGCAGGCCAGCCCUGCUUAGUGCAUCCCGCCGCGGUGAGCAGUCCAAGCAAAACAGUAGCAAGCGGACAAAGGAAGAAGAAUGUGUGCAGGGUGCGCCCGACCUGUGUGUGUGUGUGCCUGAGUGCGUGUGUGUCUGAGUGGGUCUGCUUGUCUGUGUGUGUGUGUGCGCGUGUGCCUGUGCUGAGUGGGUCUGCUUGUCUCUGUGUGUGUGUGCCUGAGUGUGUGUGUGUGUGCGUGUGUGUGCCUGUGUGUCUCUGUGUGUGCGUGUGCCUGUGUGUGUGUGCCUGAGUGUGUGUGUGCCUGUCUGUGUGUGUCUGUGUGUGUGUGUAUGCCUGAGUGCGUGUGUGUCUGAGUGGGUCUGCUUGUCUGUGUGUGUGUGUGUGCGUGUGCCUGUGUGUGUGUGCCUGUCUGUCUGUGUGUGUGUGUGCCUGAGUGUGUGUGUGUCUGAGUGGGUCUGCUUGUCUCUGUGUGUGUGUGCCUGAGUGUGUGUGUGUGUGCGUGUGUGUGCCUGUGUGUGUGUGUGUCUGUGUGUGUGUGUGUGCGAGUGUGUGUGUGUGUGUGUGUGUGCGUGUGUGUGUGUGCGUGUGUGUGUGUGUGUGUGUGUGUGUGUGUGUGUGUGUGUGUGUGUGUGUGUGUGUGUGUGUGUGUGUGUGUGUGUGUGUGUGUGUGUGUGUGUGUGUGUGUGUGUGUGUGUGUGCGCCUGAGUGUGUAUGCCUGAGUGCGUGUGUGUCUGAGUGGGUCUGCUUGUCUGUGUGUGUGUGUGCCUGAGUGUGUGUGUGUCUGAGUGGGUCUGCUUGUCUCUGUGUGUGUGUGCCUGAGUGUGUGUGUGUGUGCGUGUGUGUGCCUGUGCCUGUCUGUGUGUGUGUGUGUGUGUGCGUGUGCCUGUGCGUGUGCCUGUGUGUGUGUGUGCCUGAGUGUGUGUGUGCCUGUCUGUGUGCUUGUCUGUGUGUGUGUGUGUGUGUGCCUGAGUGUGUGUGGGGGGGGGGGGGGGGGGGGGGGGGGGGGGGGGGGGGGGGGGGGGGGGGGGGGGGGGGGGGGGGGGGGGGGGGGGGGGGGGGGGGGGGGGGGGGGGGGGGGGGGGGGGGGGGGGGGGGGGGGGGGGGGGGGGGGGGGGGGGGGGGGGGGGGGGGGGGGGGGGGGGGGGGGGGGGGGGGGGGGGGGGGGGGGGGGGGGGGGGGGGGGGGGGGGGGGGGGGGGGGGGGGUGUGUGCCUGUCUGUGUGUGUGUGUGUGUGUGUGCCUGUCCUCUGUGUGUGUGUGUGCGCGUGUGCCUGUGUGUGUGUGCCUGAGUGUGUGUGUGUGUGCGUGUGUGUGCCUGUGUGUGUGUGUGUGUGUGCUGCAAGUGGAGUAGCCACGGAGUAAUAAAGGUAAUAUAUAGUUACAAAUGCUUUGUUUUGGUAGUAAGAAGUGUCAGGUAACUGUAGCAUAGCAGUUGUUCAUUUAUAGAACAAAUGUAAUACUGUGCUGUUACUUACAUGAUUAUUUAGCCCUGUCUAAGCAUGCACACGUGCUCGCGUGCCCAGCGGUACGCGCAUAGGCGUGUGUGCACGCGGGUGUGCCCCGCAGCGUGUGUGACCCGGAGAGGUCCCGGCGAGGGUGGCACGACGCUGCCCCGCGGUGACAAAAAGCAUGGUGCGGCCCACCGCUCUCGUCCAUUCACAAUCCGCGCUCGGCCGGCAGCGCGGACGGAUUUUCUUUUUUUUGUGAAUGGAGUCGAUGACGUCGCCGCGCCCGCGCGCCGCCUGCCCUCCAUUCAUGCGGCCCCGGCGCGCCGUGAAUGGGCGGGGC